GAGGGUGUAGCUCAGUGGUAGAGCACAUGCUUAGCAUGAACGAGGUCCUGGAUUCAAUCUCCAGUAUCUCCA
Transfer RNA from Camelus ferus (Wild Bactrian camel), 72 nucleotides. It matches the Rfam family "tRNA". Rfam says of the family: Transfer RNA (tRNA) molecules are approximately 80 nucleotides in length. Their secondary structure includes four short double-helical elements and three loops (D, anti-codon, and T loops). The record is from Rfam. Lineage: Eukaryota; Metazoa; Chordata; Mammalia; Artiodactyla; Camelidae.